AACGAACGCUGGCGGCAGGCCUAACACAUGCAAGUCGAACGCGCGUAGCAAUACGCGAGUGGCGCACGGGUGAGUAACACGUGGGAACCAACCCAGAGGUUCGGAAUAACCGCGGGAAACUGCGGCUAAUACCGGAUGUCCCCCAUGGGGGAAAGAUUUAUCGCCUCUGGACGGGCCCGCGUCCGAUUAGCUAGUUGGUGAGGUAACGGCUCACCAAGGCUACGAUCGGUAGCUGGUCUGAGAGGAUGACCAGCCACACUGGAACUGAGAUACGGUCCAGACUCCUACGGGAGGCAGCAGUGGGGAAUAUUGGGCAAUGGAGGCAACUCUGACCCAGCCAUGCCGCGUGGGUGACGAAGGUCUUCGGAUUGUAAAGCCCUUUCGGCGGGACGAUGAUGACGGUACCGCAGAAGAAGCCCCGGCUAACUUCGUGCCAGCCGCCGC
RNAcentral lists this ribosomal RNA (444 nucleotides) under uncultured bacterium. RNAcentral describes it as "bacterial SSU rRNA". It matches the Rfam family "Bacterial small subunit ribosomal RNA", at positions 29 to 518 of the family's 1533-position model. The record is from RNAcentral.